RNAcentral lists this ribosomal RNA (468 nucleotides) under uncultured bacterium. RNAcentral describes it as "partial 16S ribosomal RNA". It matches the Rfam family "Bacterial small subunit ribosomal RNA", at positions 28 to 507 of the family's 1533-position model. The record is from RNAcentral.
GACGAACGCCGGCGGCGUGCUUAACACAUGCAAGUCGAACGGAAAGGCCCUGCUUUUGUGGGGUGCUCGAGUGGCGAACGGGUGAGUAACACGUGAGUAACCUGCCCUUGACUUUGGGAUAACUUCAGGAAACUGGGGCUAAUACCGGAUAGGAGCUCCUGCUGCAUGGUGGGGGUUGGAAAGUUUCGGCGGUUGGGGAUGGACUCGCGGCUUAUCAGCUUGUUGGUGGGGUAGUGGCUUACCAAGGCUUUGACGGGUAGCCGGCCUGAGAGGGUGACCGGCCACAUUGGGACUGAGAUACGGCCCAGACUCCUACGGGAGGCAGCAGUGGGGAAUAUUGCACAAUGGGCGGAAGCCUGAUGCAGCAACGCCGCGUGCGGGAUGACGGCUUUCGGGUUGUAAACCGCUUUCGCCUGUGACGAAGCGUGAGUGACGGUAAUGGGUAAAGAAGCACCGGCUAACUACGUG